Molecule: non-coding RNA, 146 nt
Organism: Triticum urartu
Lineage: Eukaryota; Viridiplantae; Streptophyta; Magnoliopsida; Poales; Poaceae
Source: Rfam
GUUGCUUCACACCUGGAAGGAUGGCCUGUUGAUAUCAGUCUGGUCAUCCCGUAGAGGGAAGCAUAGACGGACGGAAACACCGGCCAGCAUUAAACAGCACGACGCAAAAUCAAACUGUGUCGUGUUACCUGUCUUCUGGUACAUCU